RNAcentral lists this transfer RNA (128 nucleotides) under Pseudocercospora pini-densiflorae CBS 125139. Its description in RNAcentral is "tRNA-Und (NNN) (tRNA-Und-NNN-8-1)". The record is from RNAcentral. Lineage: Eukaryota; Fungi; Ascomycota; Dothideomycetes; Mycosphaerellales; Mycosphaerellaceae.
GCUGAUCUGGUCCAAUGGUAGGGCACUGCUGGCGUAGUUACCUCAAUGCGCCAUACUUCUAUGAAGUAGCCUAGGGCCCGUUAAGUCGGUUGGAGCAGGGAUGCGUGGUUCAAAUCCGGCGGUUGGCU